AAAAUCCUGGGUUGAGUUCAAUAUCGUAGCGGCUACGUAGCUGCUAUCAAUAUCUAUGUAGCAACUAGUCUAUAGCUACACGUUCAAUAGUCAAAAUCUACGUAGCACUAUACGUAGCUGCUACGAUAUUGAACUCAACCCAGGACUCCGAAGUGUAUUUGUGGAUUUAAUUUCCGCAUGAACCACCAAAAGCCGAAUAUUUGAAGGCCUAUAGUUUAUAAGAACUGCAAUAGCUGAUUAAAAGUUAAAGAUGAUUGUUCAGAAUUGUACGUUUAAUAAUUUCAUCUGCCGACAUGAUUGCAGAAAAAAAGUCGAAAAUAAAAAAAAAAUAUGAGGGAACACACGUGCAUUUAAUAAUUUUAUGCCUUAACGUACAGUAAAAAAAUAUAUUAAUACUCAACCCUAACAUACUUUUUGGCUUAAUGCGAGUUGAUAAGUUUUCACUGUUACUCCUAAAUGAUGAGCGUUUGGAAUACAUCAGAACUGUGUGUGUUUAAUAAUUUUCUAGCUCAAUUUCUGCAUACCAUUAUCAUAGUAACAAAUAAUAUUGUUUGUAACAAAUCAUAUAUGACAUCUGAGUUUAUUACUUUUACUUUUAAAAUACAUUAAUAAAAGUUUGUCUAAAUACUCGAGUUACGGUCAUCUUUCAAAGUUACGACCAUCAUCCAAAAUAUUAUAGUUGAAUUUACGACCAUCACACAUUUAAAGUUACGACCAUCAUGCUCCAACUUUUGAAUGACUAUUUUACGAAAAUUGGAAUGAUUUUGUCUAUCAAAUUUGGUUUCAAUAUCAACGCACUCACGAUAAGUGUAUAUGAGACAAGCGGUUUGGCUCAAAUGAACCUUUUACUGCACGAAAAUAUGAAAAGAAAAACUUAUCCCUAGAGUUGUCUCCCAUCUCCGGAUGGUCGUAACUUUUAGUU
Molecule: long non-coding RNA, 922 nt
Filed under: Mytilus galloprovincialis (Mediterranean mussel)
Lineage: Eukaryota; Metazoa; Mollusca; Bivalvia; Mytilida; Mytilidae
Source: RNAcentral